Molecule: unclassified non-coding RNA, 145 nt
Filed under: soil metagenome
Description: partial internal transcribed spacer 1
Source: RNAcentral
UAAUAAGUGUUUUAUGGCACUUUUUAAAUCCAUAUCCACCUUGUGUGCAAUGUCAGUCGAUCUUCUUCAUGGAGAUCGACCAAACAUCAACCUUUAUCUUUUAACUCUUAGUCUGAAAAAUAUUAUGAAUAAACAAUUCAAAAUA